CAAUAGCGUAUAUUAAAGUUGUUGCGGUUAAAAAGCUCGUAGUUGGAGUUCUGCCAGGUGACGCUCGUCCGCCCAAGUGGUGUGUACAGGGCGUGCAUCUGGCCCUUUCAAGGGGAACGUGUCUGCACUUUACUGUGUGGUGCGAGAUCCUUGACUUUUACUUUGAGGAAAUCAGAGUGUUCCAAGCAGGCUCUCGUCGUGUAUAGCUCAGCAUGGAAUAAUAGCAUUGGACUUCGUUUCUAAGCUGUUGGUUGCAAGAAGCGAGGUAAUGAUGAAGAGGGAUAGUUGGGGGCAUUCGUAUUUAACUGUCGGAGGUGAAAUUCUUGGAUUUGUUAAAGACGGACUACUGCGAAAGCAUCUGCCAUGGAUGUUUUCAUUGA
This 380-nucleotide ribosomal RNA is filed under the name uncultured eukaryote. Its description in RNAcentral is "partial 18S ribosomal RNA". It matches the Rfam family "Eukaryotic small subunit ribosomal RNA", at positions 592 to 976 of the family's 1831-position model. The record is from RNAcentral.